GAAUAUUCAGAGUAACUUUAUUCAUAAGAGUAAAAAACUGGAAGAAACCUCAAAUAUCUGUCAACAUCUGGACAUAUAAACAAAUAGAUAAACUGGUAUAUUCACAGAAUGGAAUACUACCUAGCAUUAUAAGGAAUAAAAUAUCAAUACAUGCUACAACAUGGAUAAAUCACAAAGUAAUUAUGCUGUGUAAAGGAAACCAGGUUUAAAAAGAGUACAUAUGACUCUGUGUAUAUAAAAAUCUAAUAAAUACAACCUAAUAUAUAGUGAUAGAAAGCUUAUGGAUGGAUGGUGAAGGGUACAUGGGGAAUGGGGGAGGGAGGGAUUAUAAUGAUGCAUGAGAAAAUUUUAGGGAUGAUGGAACAUGUUUAUUAUCUUGAUGUGGUAUCUACCUAUGUCAAAUCUUAACACAUUGUGUACUUUAAGUAUGCGUAGUUUAUUACAUGUCAAUUGUAUCUCAAUAAAGCUGCUAAAAGUUUUGUAGUCACAGUAACAAAUAUAAAAUAAGCAUUAAAAUGUAAUAUAGGUGUACAUUAUUGACUUAAAACAUUUUGGUAAAUAGUAUAAAUGUGAAUGCCAUUUAAAGUCUUGUUUAUGAAAAAUCACAACACUAGCAAUCUCCUUUUCUUAGAGCUGGAAUGGAUAUUGGGGCUGUGGAGCAGAAAUGAUACGUAAGUGACUGUCUCCUCAGAGGCAGGGCUAAGAGAAUUAAGUAACCCGCCUAAGGUCAACAGUCAAUCGAUAGACAUGUACUUCAAUUCAGGCCUACCCAUGCUGGAUAGCUCUCAUUUGCCCCUCUAGAUUUACUUCCCAUCCUCUCCACCCCGCCCUAAGCCUUAGGAGGCUAACCUAUAAGGACUACAUCAUUGGUCUAGGUUUACCGCUGGCUUCCCAUUGGGUUGGGCCAAUGAGGAGCACCAACAGGAGAUGAGGAAAAAGGAGGAGAGUGAGGUCAGCGUAUUCAUUCUCACACUUCAUUCCUUGGUGACCCCAGUGGAGUCACCCUCGGGCUCACUGUGCCCAUCCACUGAAGCUUUGCAUCUCCUGUCAAGUGGUCCUCUUCACAUAGUCAUCUCCCUUCAGACUCCAGUAGCUGCUUCUUCCCCUCGCGUGUUCAGACUGGAGAUGCUCACCCAGGUGCUGACAGUUCUGAGAUGUUGCGCUAUCUCUUGUAGUUUCCUUACAACCUGUAAAUGCCUUU
Molecule: long non-coding RNA, 1201 nt
Filed under: Equus caballus (horse)
Lineage: Eukaryota; Metazoa; Chordata; Mammalia; Perissodactyla; Equidae
Description: lncRNA (ENSECAG00000059636.1)
Source: RNAcentral